GAAAUGACUGAACAUCCCCGUGUAGCAGAUGAGGAAGAGGAGGCCCAGAGACAACAUAGCGUCCAAGCUCCUACCCACUGUGUCACACUGCCCCCUGCUGAGCGCCUACUAAGUGCCAGGCUCUAGAAAAGAGUGGUGUUUGAGACAUUCCAAGGAGCUUCUGUUUGCGUCAGGACAAGUCAAAGGAGAAUGGACACAUAAGUCUACUGGAUUAGAGGCUUUCCCUAAAAUGCAUAAUAAAGGCAAGCUCACUCUA
Lutra lutra (Eurasian river otter) is the source of this 256-nucleotide long non-coding RNA. RefSeq lists it as uncharacterized. The record is from RefSeq and is a predicted model, not a curated record. The transcript has 2 exons. Lineage: Eukaryota; Metazoa; Chordata; Mammalia; Carnivora; Mustelidae.